RNAcentral lists this ribosomal RNA (463 nucleotides) under Vreelandella stevensii. Its description in RNAcentral is "partial 16S ribosomal RNA". It matches the Rfam family "Bacterial small subunit ribosomal RNA", at positions 338 to 795 of the family's 1533-position model. Lineage: Bacteria; Pseudomonadati; Pseudomonadota; Gammaproteobacteria; Oceanospirillales; Halomonadaceae. The record is from RNAcentral.
CCUACGGGGGCAGCAGUGGGAAUAUUGGACAAUGGGCGAAAGCCUGAUCCAGCCAUGCCGCGUGUGUGAAGAAGGCCUUCGGGUUGUAAAGCACUUUCAGUGGGGAAGAAAGCCUUGGGGCUAAUACCCUCGAGGAAGGACAUCACCCACAGAAGAAGCACCGGCUAACUCCGUGCCAGCAGCCGCGGUAAUACGGAGGGUGCGAGCGUUAAUCGGAAUUACUGGGCGUAAAGCGCGCGUAGGCGGUCUGAUAAGCCGGUUGUGAAAGCCCCGGGCUCAACCUGGGAACGGCAUCCGGAACUGUCAGGCUAGAGUGCAGGAGAGGAAGGUAGAAUUCCCGGUGUAGCGGUGAAAUGCGUAGAGAUCGGGAGGAAUACCAGUGGCGAAGGCGGCCUUCUGGACUGACACUGACGCUGAGGUGCGAAAGCGUGGGUAGCAAACAGGAUUAGAUACCCCAGUAGUC